This 654-nucleotide long non-coding RNA is filed under the name Homo sapiens (human). RNAcentral describes it as "non-protein coding lnc-ZNF195-1:4". The record is from RNAcentral. Lineage: Eukaryota; Metazoa; Chordata; Mammalia; Primates; Hominidae.
GAAACCACCCAUCGAGGUCAGGAGUCAAUUGAAAAGUUGUUAGGCCGGUAUUUCUACAUCUCGCAUUUGUCAGCUCUUGCCAAAACGGUGACGCAGUGGUGUGUUACCUGCCCACAGCAUAAUGCUAGGCAAUGUCCAGCCGUUCCACCCGGCAUACAAGCUUAUGGAGCAGCCCCCUUUGAAGAUCUCCAGGUGGACUUCACAGAGAUGUCAAAGUGUAGAGGUGAUCGAGUGUGGAUCAAGAACUGGAACGUAGCCUCUUUGUGUCCACUGUGGAAAGGACCCCAGACUGUCGUUCUGAGCCCUCCCACCGCUGUGAAGGUAGAAGGAAUCCCAGCCUGGAUCCACCACAGCCAUGUAAAACCUGCAGCGCGUGAAACCUGGGAGGCAAGACCAAGCCCAGACAACCCUUUCAGAGUGACCCUGAAGAAGACGACAAGCCCUGCUCCAGUCACACCCGGAAGCUGACUGGUCCACGCACGGCCGAAGCCUGAGGAAGCUCAUCGUGAGAUUCAUUUUUCUUAAAUUUUGGACUUAUACAGUAAGGGCUUCAACUGAUCUUACUCAAACUGGGGACUGUUCCCAGUGUAUUCAUCAGGUCACCGAAGUAGGACAGCAAAUUAAAACAAUCUUUCUGUUCUAUAGUUAUUAUGA